AUUGAACGCUGGCGGCAGGCCUAACACAUGCAAGUCGAGCGGAUGAAGGGAGCUUGCUCCUGGAUUCAGCGGCGGACGGGUGAGUAAUUCCUAGGAAUCUGCCUGGUAGUGGGGGAUAACGUCCGGAAACGGGCGCUAAUACCGCAUACGACCUGAGGGAGAAAGUGGGGGAUCUUCGGACCUCACGCUAUCAGAUGAGCCUAGGUCGGAUUAGCUAGUUGGUGGGGUAAAGGCCUACCAAGGCGACGAUCCGUAACUGGUCUGAGAGGAUGAUCAGUCACACUGGAACUGAGCCACGGUCCAGACUCCUACGGGAGGCACCAGUGGGGAAUAUUGGACAAUGGGGGAAAGCCUGCUCCAGCCCUGCCGCGUGUGUGAAGAAGGUCUUCGGAUUGUAAAGCACUUUAAGUUGGGAGGAAGGGCAGUAAGUUAAUACCUUGCUGUUUUGACGUUACCAACAGAAUAAGCACCGGCUAACUUCGUG
Molecule: ribosomal RNA, 484 nt
Filed under: uncultured bacterium
Lineage: Bacteria
Description: partial 16S ribosomal RNA
Rfam family: Bacterial small subunit ribosomal RNA
Source: RNAcentral